CUAAUAUUAAAUUAUUUAAAAAACAAAUAUCAUUACGGCAUUGGAAAAACAUAAAUUUUGAUGAUAACGCAAAUAAUAUUUAUGAAACUUUUUUCAAAACAUUUUUUUCUGUUUAUGAAAUUAAUUUCCCAAUUAUAGAAAAACAUUAACAACUAAGAAUAUCAAUACACCUAAAGGUUUUGAAUAUUACUAUAGGUUUUAAAAAGUUAUACAUAAGUUUUAAAAAAAACAGCUUCAAGCGAAAAAAUCUAUAAGAACUACAAAAACCUAUUUGAAAAAAUUUGCAAAAACUUAUAGAAAAAUUAUUACUCCCAAUUGUUCAAUACAUUUAAAAACGACACAAAGCACACGUGGCAAAUAAUGAAAGAAAUUAUUGGCAAAAAAAAAUCAUGCUCCAGUUUUCUUCCACAAAUGGCUAGAGUCGAUAACAUAAGUUUAUAUGAACCAAAAACUAUAGCUCAAGAAUUUAACAAAUAUUUCUCUCAUAUAGGACCAACACUGUCUGAAAAAAUCCCAAGGACCAAAUCUUUGUUUACUGAUUAUCUAGAACCCCUGGAUAAUUGCAUUUGUUCAGAUGAGUUAUCUUCCGAAUUAAUGUUUGAUGAAUUUGAAAGAGCCUUUAAAUCUGUUAAAAAAAUAAGGAGCGGUCUACUUUUUUUAUUGUUUAUAUACACCUUUAUGUUUAUAGAGGUUUAUUCAUACUUAUUUUAUUUAUUGUUCUUAUACUUUUUACUUUUAUAUGUUGGUUUACUCUUGUAUAAAAAUCUGAUGAGAAGAUCCACUUGUUCUUUCUUCAGACACAGGUUCUGACGACAAGAUCCUUGCGACCAUCUUUCAGAUACCUUGUUUAUGUUUGUUAUGUUUUACGUCAUUGUAAAAUUAUAUUAUUAUUUUUAUUAUGGGUUAUUUAAAGCUGUACAACGAUUAACAAAUGUAAACCAAAAAAAACAAAAAAACAAACACUUACAUUCCACACAAAGAAAGCAAAAACACAAUGUUACAUUAUAUGAGACUUAUACCUAGAAUAAAAUAUAAGCUAAAUUA
This is a long non-coding RNA of Hydra vulgaris (swiftwater hydra), 1044 nucleotides long. RefSeq lists it as uncharacterized. NCBI's taxonomy places the organism in Eukaryota, Metazoa, Cnidaria, Hydrozoa, Anthoathecata, Hydridae. The record is from RefSeq and is a predicted model, not a curated record.